UAUAAUUUCGGGCCGGACCAACUCUAAAGAGAAGUUCAGUACCACUACUGGCUGUUCUCACUCAGAUAUUGUAAGAAAAAUCUGAUCUUUGUUCUCUACCGGCGAUUCCUAUCACAUAGACGGCCAAAUGGCUCCUCUGGGCAACGGAUCAGACGCUGCAGGGGAAGCCACUGUUGCCGAUGCUGCGAAGCGCCCCAUCUCCACCAUCGUCAUCAUCAUCGCUAUGCAGACAGAAGCGCUGCCUCUGGUGAACAAGUUCCAGCUUAAGGAGGACCCCGACUCGGUGUUUCCCAAAGGAGUCCCUUGGGUCCGAUAUCAUGGUAUCUACAAAGGCCUUAAUAUUAAUAUCAUUUGGCCGGGGAAAGAUUUGACUUUGGGGGUUGAUAGUAUAGGCACAAUUUCGGCUUCUCUUGUGACCUAUGCUUCUAUCCAAGCUUUGCAGCCAGACCUGAUCAUCAAUGCAGGAACUGCUGGAGGCUUUAAGGCCAAAGGAGCGAGUGUUGGUGAUGUGUUUCUUGCAUCUGAAAUUGCCUUUCAUGAUAGAAGGAUCCCUAUUCCUGUUUUUGAUUUGUAUGGAGUUGGUUUGCGACAAGCUUUCUCAACACCAAAUCUCUUGAAGAAGCUUAACCUAAAGGUUGGCAAAUUGUCCACUGGUGACUCUCUAGAUAUGUCCUCUCGGGAUGAGGCUUCAAUUAUCGCAAAUGAUGCUACAGUUAAAGAUAUGGAGAGUUAAAAUGAUUUUUAGUUUUCGCACAAUUGGGCGGAUGUGCAUUAUGCCUGAACAUGCAAGGACGGGCUGCAAGCAGACCUACUAUUAACCAUCUUGUAAGAGAUGCUUGCAUCAGCAUAGCAAUGAAAUAUAUUGUUUGAAAUGCAUUAUCGUAAGAUGAUGCGUAACAGCAUAAGUGCUGCUGUGCUGGUUCAUGUAAUUUUACACUCUUUUUGUCUCAAUCUAGCUCAUGUUGGAGGUGGGAAUUCGGAAGUGGUUUUUACAUUAGGCCAUGCUUGGGAAGGCGUUUUGGGAGGUUGUGAUGAUGAUGGUGGGAGAGGGGGUGGAGAAAGGUGCUAUUUGCACCCUAUAUCAACUGCUUUCGAAAUAAUAUCCACAGAAGUUCUGGUUACUAUUGUCACCAAGUACAGUUUUAUGAACUGAUGUGUAUUACAAGUGCCUGACUUUUACUUAUGCAAAACUCCUCAAUCUCUAAACAAUAAUAUGUUACUUCUUCAUAAAUGUCUUCCCAUUGGCUGAAAUAUUCAUAGGACUAAGAUUUUCAUAAAUAGAUUGUUAGAUGAGAAAUUAAGAUAUAUUCUCUAGUAUUUCGAGCUUUUACCACAGGUCCACAUGUAAUGGAGUCAUAAUAGACUAUUGACUUUGUAAGUUCAAUGUAGUAGAUUGUUGACUUCGACGUUUAA
This is an RNA transcript of Tripterygium wilfordii, 1413 nucleotides long. It is a transcript of the gene named 5'-methylthioadenosine nucleosidase-like, with no coding region annotated. NCBI's taxonomy places the organism in Eukaryota, Viridiplantae, Streptophyta, Magnoliopsida, Celastrales, Celastraceae. The transcript is spliced from 9 exons. The record is from RefSeq and is a predicted model, not a curated record.